RNAcentral lists this ribosomal RNA (458 nucleotides) under uncultured bacterium. RNAcentral's name for it is "bacterial SSU rRNA". It matches the Rfam family "Bacterial small subunit ribosomal RNA", at positions 29 to 506 of the family's 1533-position model. The record is from RNAcentral.
GUGAACGCUGGCGGCGUGCCUAACACAUGCAAGUCGAACGAUGAUAGGAAGCUUGCUUCCUUGAUUAGUGGCGCACGGGUGAGUAUACCAUAGAUAAUGUACCUCUUAGUUCGGGAUAGCCACUGGAAACGGUGAUUAAUACCGGAUACUCCUUCUCAUUAUAAGAUGAGUCGGGAAAGUUUUUUCGCUAAGAGAUCAGUCUAUGUCCUAUCAGCUAGUUGGUGAGGUAAUGGCUCACCAAGGCUAUGACGGGUAUCUGGUUUGAGAGGAUGAUCAGACACACUGGAACUGAGACACGGUCCAGACUCCUACGGGAGGCAGCAGUGAGGAAUAUUGCACAAUGGAGGAAGCUCUGAUGCAGCAACGCCGCGUGGAGGAUGACGCAUUUCGGUGUGUAAACUCCUUUUAAGAGGGAAGAUAAUGACGGUACCUCUUGAAUAAGCACCGGCUAACUCCGU